RNAcentral lists this ribosomal RNA (292 nucleotides) under uncultured bacterium. RNAcentral describes it as "partial 16S ribosomal RNA". It matches the Rfam family "Bacterial small subunit ribosomal RNA", at positions 505 to 796 of the family's 1533-position model. The record is from RNAcentral.
GUGUCAGCCGCCGCGGUAAAACGUAGGAGCCAAGCGUUAUCCGAAUUCACUGGGCGUAAAGCGCGUGCAGGCGGCUUGGUAAGUUGGAUGUGAAAUCUCCUGGCUCAACUGGGAGAGGCCGUUCAAUACUGUCAAGCUCGAGGACGACAGAGGGAGGUGGAAUUCCGGGUGUAGUGGUGAAAUGCGUAGAUAUCCGGAGGAACACCAGAGGCGAAGGCGACCUCCUGGGUCGUACCUGACGCUCAGAUGCGAAAGCUAGGGGAGCGAACGGGAUUAGAUACCCCUGUAGUCC